RNAcentral lists this ribosomal RNA (617 nucleotides) under uncultured bacterium. Its description in RNAcentral is "bacterial SSU rRNA". The stretch from base 1 to 521 matches the Rfam family "Bacterial small subunit ribosomal RNA", at positions 338 to 873 of the family's 1533-position model. The record is from RNAcentral.
CCUACGGGAGGCAGCAGUGGGGAAUAUUGCGCAAUGGGCGGAAGCCUGACGCAGCGACGCCGCGUGAGGGAUGACGGCCUUCGGGUUGUAAACCUCUUUCAGCAGGGACGAAGCGAAAGUGACGGUACCUGCAGAAGAAGCACCGGCCAACUACGUGCCAGCAGCCGCGGUAAUACGUAGGGUGCAAGCGUUGUCCGGAAUUAUUGGGCGUAAAGAGCUCGUAGGCGGUUUGUCGCGUCGGCUGUGAAAGUCCGGAGCUCAACUCCGGGUCUGCAGUCGAUACGGGCAGACUUGAGUGUUGCAGGGGAGACUGGAAUUCCUGGUGUAGCGGUGAAAUGCGCAGAUAUCAGGAGGAACACCGGUGGCGAAGGCGGGUCUCUGGGCAACAACUGACGCUGAGGAGCGAAAGCGUGGGGAGCGAACAGGAUUAGAUACCCUGGUAGUCCACGCCGUAAACGUUGGGCGCUAGGUGUGGGGCCCAUUCCACGGUCUCCGUGCCGCNGCUACGCAUAGCGCCCGCCGUCGGGAGGUACGGCCGGCCGACGGACGUAAACCUACAAACUAGAAGUUAGUACGGCGUGAGACGUGCCGACGGACGACCGACGAGGGAGGUUAGG